This is a long non-coding RNA of Sinocyclocheilus rhinocerous, 1246 nucleotides long. RefSeq lists it as uncharacterized. NCBI's taxonomy places the organism in Eukaryota, Metazoa, Chordata, Actinopteri, Cypriniformes, Cyprinidae. The transcript has 2 exons. The record is from RefSeq and is a predicted model, not a curated record.
GCGCUGACGUGUCUCUGUCCCGCAGGAGUUGGACGCUCCGUUCCGUCUGUACGGUCUGACCAUGAAUCCUCUGCUGUAUAACAUCACUCAGGUGGUGAUUCUGUCGGCCGUGUCGGGGGUCAUCAGCGACCUGCUGGGCUUCAACCUGAAGCUGUGGAAGAUCAAAUCAUGACGGUGAAUCUGCAGUGAUUUCAGCUUCCCGAGGCGAUGCGCGUCUCAAACACACGGUGGCGCUGUUUCCCCUCGACGGCUUCCUGACAAUGAACUCUUGACCUGUUGUUCGGUCAUAGAGUGCUUGUGCAAUUCAGCUAUUUAUUUUACCCUUUCAGUGUUUUUUUUUAUUCUGAAGUAUUUGUUUUAGCUGUUACAAUUGUUUUAAGUAUUAUUUUAGCUCCUGAUGUGAUGUUCUCAUAGGAAAGAUAAUCCAGCGCAGUCUGAUCUGCGAGUUACUGAAACCAACAGAAAAGCCCCAUCAUGACGCGAUGAUCAUUGUGGAACGGAUGAAACUGACACACACACACACACACACACAACUGAAACUGCCGUUUUUACACGCGUGUGAGUUUCAUCAGUUGAUCUGCAGUUUUUCAGCUUUGUUUUCAUUCUCAGCAACACGUGUCAGUGAGUUCAGAUGAACAUUAAUACGUCUGAUCUCACACUGAUUCAGCCGCUUCAUGUGUCGUCUGUGACCCACACACACUCCGUCGGUCUGUAAACACGUGUGUGUGUGUGUGUGUGUGUGUGUGUCAGUUAGCAAAGCCUCAAAAUGUGCACUUUAAAGCAGAAAAUGUUACAUGUUUCAGUCAUGUUUCAGUCUGUCAGUGGUUCAGUCUUGGUGUUUUGUACGUGAUGUAACGACCAAAGUGUUUUUCUUUUUCCUUUGUCUGUUUGUUUUUUUUGCUGGAGAUGAAUGUAUUCGACUCCCUGAACUCUGCUUUGUAAAGGGGACUGACAGAGUUACUUUUUUUGUUGUUGUGAUGCUGUUUUAAGUUUGAUUCAUAUAGAUUCAUAUUUCUGUUCAUGGAGGGAAAAUGUUCUGUUACAAAGAAACACUAUUUAAAGAAAAAGAGAAAUGGAGAAACUGAACGUCUCGUUCGCUUUUCAGAGAAUCUUGUGUUUCUAGUUUCUGUAUAUUAUUCAGACGUUUCUCUUCUCAGAUGAAGGUACAGCCAGCUUCACGAGAAUCUUGUGCUGGUGAAACUUAUAUUUCAACACGCUGUACAAAAUAAAUCUCUCAUGAAAAGUG